GAUGAAGGAACGUAGCGAAAUGCGAUAAGUAGUGUGAAUUGCAGAAUUCAGUGAAUCAUCGAAUCUUUGAACGCACAUUGCGCCCCUUGGUAUUCCAUGGGGCAUGCCUGUUCGAGCGUCAUUUGUACCUUCAAGCUUUGCUUGGUGUUGGGUGUUUGUCUCGCCUUUGCGUGUAGACUCGCCUUAAAAUAAUUGGCAGCCGGCGUAUUGAUUUCGGAGCGCAGUACAUCUCGCGCUUUGCACUCAUAACGACAGCGUCCAAAAGUACAUUUUACACUCUUGACCUCGGAUCAGGUAGGGAUACCCGCUGAACUUAAGCAUAUCAAUAAGCGGAGGA
This 337-nucleotide unclassified non-coding RNA is filed under the name soil metagenome. RNAcentral's name for it is "partial contains 5.8S ribosomal RNA, internal transcribed spacer 2, and large subunit ribosomal RNA". The stretch from base 1 to 121 matches the Rfam family "5.8S ribosomal RNA", at positions 35 to 154 of the family's 154-position model. The record is from RNAcentral.